This 448-nucleotide ribosomal RNA is filed under the name uncultured bacterium. Its description in RNAcentral is "bacterial SSU rRNA". It matches the Rfam family "Bacterial small subunit ribosomal RNA", at positions 29 to 508 of the family's 1533-position model. The record is from RNAcentral.
AAUCAACGCUGGCGGCGCGCUUAACACAUGCAAGUCGAACGAGAAAGUGGAGCAAUCCAUGAGUAAAGUGGCGUACUGGUGAGUAACACGUGGGUAAUCUACCUCUGGGUGGGGAAUAACUCUGGGAAACCGGAGCUAAUACCGCAUAAGCCUGUAAAGGGAAAGGCGAAAGUCGCCGAGAGGGGAGCCCGCGGCUGAUUAGCUAGUUGGUGGGGUAAGAGCUCACCAAGGCUGAGAUCGGUAGCCGGCCUGAGAGGGCACACGGCCACACUGGCACUGAAACACGGGCCAGACUCCUACGGGAGGCAGCAGUGGGGAAUCUUGCACAAUGGGGGAAACCCUGAUGCAGCGACGCCGCGUGAGCGAUGAGGCCCUUCGGGGUGUAAAGCUCUUUCGGCAGGGACGAUGAUGACGGUACCUGCAGAAGAAGCUGCGGCUAACUACGUGC